RNAcentral lists this ribosomal RNA (440 nucleotides) under uncultured bacterium. Its description in RNAcentral is "partial 16S ribosomal RNA". It matches the Rfam family "Bacterial small subunit ribosomal RNA", at positions 338 to 795 of the family's 1533-position model. The record is from RNAcentral.
CCUACGUGUGGCAGCAGUGGGGAAUAUUGCACAAUGGAGGGAACUCUGAUGCAGCGACGCCGCGUGAGUGAAGACGUAAUUCGUUAUGUAAAGCUCUAUCAGCAGGGACGAAAGUGACGGUACCUGACAAAGAAGCUCCGGCUAAAUACGGGACAGCAGCCGCGGUAAUACGUAUGGAGCAAGCGUUAUCCGGAUUUACUUGGUUUAACGGAAGAGUAGGUGGCAGAGCAAGUCCGAAGUGAAAACCCAAAGCUAAACUAUGGGAAUGCUUUAGAAACUGCUCAGCUAGAGUGCAGGAGAGGCAAGUGGAAUUCUUGGUGUAGCGGUGAAAUGCGUAGAUAUCAGGAGGAACACCAGUGGCGAAGGCGGCUUGCUGGACUGUAACUGACACUGAGGCUCGAAAGCGUGGGGAGCAAACAGGAUUAGAUACCCGAGUAGUC